RNAcentral lists this unclassified non-coding RNA (335 nucleotides) under soil metagenome. RNAcentral's name for it is "partial contains 5.8S ribosomal RNA, internal transcribed spacer 2, and large subunit ribosomal RNA". The stretch from base 1 to 120 matches the Rfam family "5.8S ribosomal RNA", at positions 35 to 154 of the family's 154-position model. The record is from RNAcentral.
GAUGAAGAACGUAGCGAAAUGCGAUAAGUAAUGUGAAUUGCAGAAUUCAGUGAAUCAUCGAAUCUUUGAACGCACAUUGCGCCCAUUAGCAUUCUAGUGGGCAUGCCUGUUCGAGCGUCAUUUCAACCCUUAAGCCCUGUUGCUUAGCGUUGGGAGCCUACAGUACUGUAGCUCCCCAAAGUUAGUGGCGGAGUCGGUUUCACACUCUAGACGUAGUAAUUUUUUCUCGUCUGUAGUUGAGCCGGUCCCCUGCCGUAAAACACCCAAUUUAUCAAGGUUGACCUCGGAUCAGGUAGGAGUACCCGCUGAACUUAAGCAUAUCAAUAAGCGGAGGA